AGGUUACAUUUCGGACAAGAAUCUAUCACUGUAAUAUUAACAGUCAAGGAGUUAUUUGCUUGGAUAUAUUGAAAGAUAAUUGGAGUCCAGCACUAACUAUUUCUAAAGUCCUCCUUUCUAUCUGCUCACUUCUUACAGACUGCAAUCCUGCUGACCCUUUGGUGGGAAGUAUUGCUACUCAGUAUAU
This is a non-coding RNA of Heterocephalus glaber (naked mole-rat), 187 nucleotides long. The record is from RefSeq and is a predicted model, not a curated record. Lineage: Eukaryota; Metazoa; Chordata; Mammalia; Rodentia; Bathyergidae.